GCCCGGGUGGUGGAAUGGUAGACACUGGGGACUUAAAAUCCCUUGCCCGUAAGGGCGUGCGGGUUCGAGUCCCGCCCCGGGCACCA
RNAcentral lists this transfer RNA (86 nucleotides) under Ruficoccus amylovorans. RNAcentral's name for it is "tRNA-Leu". It matches the Rfam family "tRNA". From Rfam's summary of the family: Transfer RNA (tRNA) molecules are approximately 80 nucleotides in length. Their secondary structure includes four short double-helical elements and three loops (D, anti-codon, and T loops). The record is from RNAcentral. Lineage: Bacteria; Pseudomonadati; Verrucomicrobiota; Opitutia; Puniceicoccales; Cerasicoccaceae.